This 2139-nucleotide ribosomal RNA is filed under the name Triticum aestivum (bread wheat). RNAcentral's name for it is "partial small subunit ribosomal RNA". The record is from RNAcentral. Lineage: Eukaryota; Viridiplantae; Streptophyta; Magnoliopsida; Poales; Poaceae.
AUGCCGGGCGCGGCGCCGCUGCUGCUCCUGGCCUGCUGCUGCUUCUGCGUCUGGCCGCACAACCAAAUCUUGGUCGCCGCCACCACCGACGCCACUGACCUUACUGCCCUCAACACGCUCUUCACUAGCUUGAAUUCUCCGGGGCAGCUCAAAGGCUGGCAAGUGAAUGGCGGUGACCCCUGCGGCGAAUCAUGGCAGGGCAUCACUUGCUCAGGAUCGUCGGUUACAGCAAUCAAACUGCCAAGCUUGGGGCUGUCUGGGAAUUUGGGCUACAAUAUGAAUACCAUGAGUUCGUUGGUCGAGAUUGAUAUGAGCCAAAACAGCCUUGGUGGUGGACAAGCGAUACAGUACAAUCUCCCCACAGCUAAGCUUGAAAGGCUCAAUCUCGCAGGAAACCAGUUUGGUGGACAGAUACCUUACUCGAUCUUCUCGAUGAAUAAUCUUAAGUAUUUAAAUCUUAACCAUAACCAGUUACAAGGAAAAAUGACCGACGUAUUUUCCAACCUUGGUAGCUUGACAACAGUGGAUCUCUCCUUUAAUUCUCUUACUGGUGACCUACCAGAAGGUUUAAGUUCACUGUCAAGUGUUAAGACUCUAUAUUUGCAGAACAAUCAGUUGACCGGUUCUAUCAAUGUCCUAGCUGAUCUUCCCCUUUCUGAUCUGAAUGUUGCAAAUAAUCGCUUCACUGGUUGGAUUCCUAGUCAGCUUAAGAAGAUAAAUAGUCUACAGACUGAUGGUAAUUCUUGGACUUCGGGACCAGCUCCACCGCCACCGCCAUUUACAGCUCCACCUUCAAACCGUCGGAAGAGCCCAGCUAAAAAAGACAGUGGUUCAUCAUCUUCUGAUGGAAAGUCUGGAAUAAGUGGCGGAGCUGUAGCGGGCAUUGUCAUAUCUUUGCUGGUCGUUGGAGCAAUUAUUGCAUUUUUUGUGAUAAAAAGGAAGCGCAAAUCUAAAAGGGAAGAGCACUUUGAACAGCACCAGCCAUUCACUUCAUUCCCUUCAAACGAAGUUAAAGACAUGAAGCCUUAUGAAGAGUCAACCACAAUAGAUGUGGACUCGUUGGCUUCCCCUGCUUCAGUUGGUCUGAAGCCACCUGCCAAGAUUGAACGCAACAAGUCAUUCGAUGAUGAUGAUGACUUCUCAAGCAAACCUGUCGCAAGGAAAAACAAUACAAAACCUAUAAAGGCAGUUGUUUAUUCAGUUGCAGAUCUACAAAUAGCAACAGAUAGCUUCAGCAUGGACAACCUUGUUGGAGAGGGUACUUUUGGACGUGUCUACAGGUCACAGUUCAACGAUGGAAAGGUUUUGGCCGUGAAGAAACUAGAUUGUACUGUAAUACCAUUCCAAUCAUCUGAAGACUUUGUUGAACUGGUCUCAAACAUUUCGAUUCUGCACCAUCCGAAUCUCAAUGAGCUUGUGGGCUAUUGCAUGGAACAUGGACAACACUUGCUUGUGUACGAUUUCCACAGGAACGGAUCACUUCAUGAUCUACUUCAUCUUUCAGAUGAAUACAGCAAGCCACUUAGCUGGAACUCCCGCAUUAAGAUCGCACUAGGCUCUGCCCGAGCACUGGAGUAUCUUCAUGAAGUAUGUUCUCCGUCUGUCGUCCAUAAGAAUUUCAAGUCAUCCAACAUUCUGCUCGACUCAGAAUACAACCCACACGUUUCAGAUGCUGGACUUGCAAGCUUUAUUCCUGAUGCUGAGUUCCAGACUGCGGAACAGAGUGCCGGGUGCACUGCCCCAGAGGUGGACAUGACUGGCCAGUACACUAUGAAGAGCGAUGUCUACAGCUUUGGGGUUGUCAUGCUAGAGCUUUUGACGGGACGCAAACCAUUUGACAGCUCCAAGCCUAGGUCAGAGCAGUCACUCGUGCGGUGGGCGUCUCCCCAGCUCCACGACAUCGAUGCCCUGGACAGGAUGGUGGAUCCUGCGCUCAAGGGUCUGUACCCUGCCAAGUCCCUGUCCCGAUUCGCCGACGUGCUCGCCUUGUGUGUCCAGGCUGAGCCGGAAUUCAGGCCACCAAUGUCUGAGGUGGUGCAGGCGCUUGUCCGGCUGGUGCAGAGGGCCAACAUGACGAAGAAGAUGCUCGACGGCGACGCUUCCCGGCGAGGCGAUGACCAGGACCAGGAUUUCAUAUGA